GCAAUUGGACUGAAAACUUCCCUAAUUUGCAGUAAAAUCAAGCGAUGACCCCCAAGCUAAAAUUCUGCAAUCAACUUCAAGGGUGGAAAUAACCAAAAGUUCCUGCAAAGAAAAGGAAAAAUUCAGUUAAGUACGCAAGAAAAUUAAUUAAAAAAAUUGCAAACGAAAAAUUGAAAAUUACGAUAAAAGAUAAUGAAUAAAACUAAUAAGUAAUCAUUGGUCGUGCUUGUUGACUUUCCACAGCUUUCCUCUUGAACAGGGUGACACUUAGCUUUUCACUUGCAAGUGAUGAUUUUAUGAUAUUGUACGGCGAAGCUUUGCUCUUUGGUUAUGUUGCAGUUCC
This 343-nucleotide long non-coding RNA is filed under the name Malus domestica (apple). Its description in RNAcentral is "long non-coding RNA (MDOM_LNC010184)". The record is from RNAcentral. Lineage: Eukaryota; Viridiplantae; Streptophyta; Magnoliopsida; Rosales; Rosaceae.